GGUCGUGUGGCCCAAUGGCAAGGCGUCUGACUACGAAUCAGAAGAUUUUGGGUUCGAUCCCCAUCAUGAUCA
This 72-nucleotide transfer RNA is filed under the name Fusarium sp. AF-6. It matches the Rfam family "tRNA". Rfam says of the family: Transfer RNA (tRNA) molecules are approximately 80 nucleotides in length. Their secondary structure includes four short double-helical elements and three loops (D, anti-codon, and T loops). Further hydrogen bonds mediate the characteristic L-shaped molecular structure. tRNAs have two regions of fundamental functional importance: the anti-codon, which is responsible for specific mRNA codon recognition, and the 3' end, to which the tRNAs corresponding amino acid is attached (by aminoacyl-tRNA synthetases). tRNAs cope with the degeneracy of the genetic code in two manners: having more than one tRNA (with a specific anti-codon) for a particular amino acid; and 'wobble' base-pairing, i.e. permitting non-standard base-pairing at the 3rd anti-codon position. Lineage: Eukaryota; Fungi; Ascomycota; Sordariomycetes; Hypocreales; Nectriaceae. The record is from Rfam by way of RNAcentral.